AUCAUUCCCUCAAUAUUGGAGGAAAUAUGCUAUAUAAUAGUCGAAGAUUUCUUCGACUAUUAUAUAGCAUAUUUCCUCCAAUAUUGAGGGAAUGAUUUCUCUUAUUU
Molecule: microRNA precursor, 107 nt
Filed under: Paramuricea clavata
Lineage: Eukaryota; Metazoa; Cnidaria; Anthozoa; Malacalcyonacea; Plexauridae
Source: RNAcentral